RNAcentral lists this ribosomal RNA (461 nucleotides) under uncultured bacterium. RNAcentral describes it as "bacterial SSU rRNA". It matches the Rfam family "Bacterial small subunit ribosomal RNA", at positions 29 to 524 of the family's 1533-position model. The record is from RNAcentral.
AACGAACGCUGGCGGCAUGCCUAACACAUGCAAGUCGAACGGGAUCCGAGCUUCGGUUCGGUGAGAGUGGCGGACGGGUGAGUAACGCGUGGGAACCUGCCCAGUGGUGGGGGAUAACUGCGGGAAACUGCAGCUAAUACCGCAUGAGCCCGAGAGGGGAAAGAUUUAUCGCCAUUGGAGGGGCCCGCGUUCGAUUAGGUAGUUGGUGAGGUAACGGCUCACCAAGCCUUCGAUCGAUAGCUGGUCUGAGAGGAUGAUCAGCCACACUGGGACUGAGAUACGGCCCAGACUCCUACGGGAGGCAGCAGUGGGGGAAUAUUGGACAAUGGGGGGCAACCCUGAUCCAGCAAUGCCGCGUGAGUGAUGAAGGCCUCGGGUUGUAAAGCUCUUUUGUCCAGGACGAUGAUGACGGUACCUGGAGAAUAAGCCCCGGCUAACUUCGUGCCAGCAGCCGCGGUAAU